UGAGCCUGUUUGGUGGGAAGCCCAUGAU
RNAcentral lists this non-coding RNA (28 nucleotides) under Homo sapiens (human). The record is from RNAcentral. Lineage: Eukaryota; Metazoa; Chordata; Mammalia; Primates; Hominidae.